AGAGGAACAGUGUUACAAACCACUUUAUUACUAAUAGCUUGUCCUGACUGCAUGCAGACGUCUGACUAUUGCAUUGAAUUAUGUCGGAUGCUUUCUGUCCACAUAGAAUCUUUAAAUAUGUACUUCUGCUGCCCCUUAAACAAACCAUGUACCAUCAUCAUCAACACUCAAGUAAAAGAUGGAAAACCAACAGAACCCUGUGGGAACCUGGGACAUUAGCUGCACUCACCCUUUUCUUUGGGUUGCUGAUGGUCUCAUCAUUCGGACGUUUGGGGGAUUUAUUGGAGUCCUU
This is a long non-coding RNA of Dicentrarchus labrax (European seabass), 292 nucleotides long. RefSeq lists it as uncharacterized. NCBI's taxonomy places the organism in Eukaryota, Metazoa, Chordata, Actinopteri, Moronidae. The record is from RefSeq and is a predicted model, not a curated record. The transcript has 2 exons.